AUUGAACGCUGGCGGCAGGCUUAACACAUGCAAGUCGCACGAGUGGCGGACGGGUGAGUAAUGUUUGGGAAUCUAGCUUAUGGCGGGGGAUAACUACGGGAAACUUUAUCUAAUACCGCGUACCAUAGGAUGUGACCAAGUGGGAUUAGGUAGUUGGUGAGGUAAAGGCUCACCAAGCCGCCGAUCUCUAGCUGGUCUGAGAGGAUGACCAGCCACACUGGGACUGAGACACGGCCCAGACUCCUACGGGAGGCAGCAGUGGGGAAUAGUGCGCAAUGGGGGCAACCCUGACGCAGCCAUGCCGCGUGUAUGAAGAAGGCCUUCGGGUUGUAAAGUACUUUCAGUCGGGAGGCGUUACCGACAGAAGAAGCACCGGCUAACUCCGUGCCAGCAGCCGCGGUAAUUC
RNAcentral lists this ribosomal RNA (406 nucleotides) under uncultured bacterium. Its description in RNAcentral is "partial 16S ribosomal RNA". It matches the Rfam family "Bacterial small subunit ribosomal RNA", at positions 30 to 526 of the family's 1533-position model. The record is from RNAcentral.